Molecule: long non-coding RNA, 899 nt
Organism: Maniola jurtina (meadow brown)
Lineage: Eukaryota; Metazoa; Arthropoda; Insecta; Lepidoptera; Nymphalidae
Exons: 3
Source: RefSeq, a predicted model, not a curated record
CCCACAUGUGUCGUAUUCUUUGAUAUGAGUAAAGCUUUCGAUUUCGUUUCGCACAGCAUCCUCUUAAACAAGUUAGAGCAAAAUGGAAUCAGAGAACCAGCACUUAGCUGGAUAGAAUCAUACCUAAAAAAUCGCAAGCAAUGUGUGGAAAUAAAUUCUAUUAACAAUAGUGGUACUAUAAUUCCCCAACGUUCUGACUUUAAACUUAACAGAUUUGGUGUUCCGCAAGGAAGCGUCCUUGGACCAUUACUAUUUUUGACCUACAUUAAUGACCUACCUUGUGUGACUAAAAAUGAUUGCUAUUUAUUUGCGGAUGACAUAUCUAUAGUCGUGACAGGUAAUAAUAAUGCUGAAAUUAAUAAAUAUGAAAAAGACAUCAAUGAUGAAAUAAAUACUAUCGUGAACUGGCUAAACGAUAAUAACCUACAAGUAAAUAUCAACAAGACUUCCUACAUGCAAUUCAGUAUAAGUAACAGAUCGAAUAACUUCAGUCUUAAUAUAAAAUAUAAUGAUUAUCAAAUUGAAGAAGCACUGCAUACUAAGUUCCUAGGAUUACUACUUGAUAAAAAUCUUAAGUGGAAGGAACAUGUUGACAUGGUAUGCAAAAAGAUUAAUCGAUAUGUGUACGUGCUUUAUAGAUUGCGUAAAACGGCCUUACCAAAUACGGUUCUUGCAGCUUAUCAUGGAUACGUUGCGUCCGUCCUCCGAUACGGAUUGAUAUUGUGGGGAAACUCUAGUGAAGCUAAUAGGGCGUUUAUAGCACAAAAGAGGUGUGUAAGGGCUAUGACAGGAGCCUUCUACUUGGACUCCUGUCGACCAUUAUUUCAACAAUUACACAUUCUCCCACUCCCGUCUAUGUAUAUAUUUGAUAUUUGUGUAUUUCAAAUAUAUAAAUAAAC